Molecule: ribosomal RNA, 61 nt
Filed under: Gambierdiscus sp. ribotype 2 MVW-2010
Lineage: Eukaryota; Dinophyceae; Gonyaulacales; Pyrocystaceae
Description: partial large subunit ribosomal RNA
Source: RNAcentral
CUCCGUCUGRACAGGGGCAUGAAAACCCGCUGAAUUUAAGCAUAUAAGYAGGCGGUGGAAC